Molecule: long non-coding RNA, 1932 nt
Organism: Macadamia integrifolia
Lineage: Eukaryota; Viridiplantae; Streptophyta; Magnoliopsida; Proteales; Proteaceae
Exons: 4
Source: RefSeq, a predicted model, not a curated record
AUUAGUUAUAUCUCCUCACGUGGACCUAAGGUUCUUAAGCUUAUCUAAAUUUUCAUUUGUAAUUAUGUAUUUUUUAUUUUCUUUAUUUUCUUUUCUUUUCUUUUCUUUUCUUUUUCCUUUUUUUUUUUUGGUUGUUUGUGUGGCAAAUUCAAGAAAGUGGGAAGGCUGGGUAGUAGCUAGCACCAAGUGUAUCUCUCUUUUUUCUUUUUGAAAUGAUCUCUCUAUUCUUGGAUGGUGUCUCACUCCGAACAACCAUUGAUGCUUUCAGCUAGUUUAAAUACAUGAACGGUGUGCCUAUCCUUGCCCUUGGAGAAAGAAGGGAUAUACUGAGCUAAUUUUGUAUGAUUUGAAGUUCUGUAGAAGAAACUUUCCUUCAUCUCUUUUGUCCACUUUGAUAAUGCAAAUUUUGCUUGGAGAUAAUUCUUGGGUUAUUUGAAGCCAAUUGGGCUCUGUCUUAGCCGGCCAAUUCAAGCAUAUAUUAUUUGUGGUAGAUGUAAGAAACAGAAUAUGGGCAAUAGCUAUAAAACUUUGACAAAUACUUAAUAAAAAUAUUAUGAAAUAAAGAAGGAGAGUAUUACUUACUGGUUCAAGUAGAGUUACACAAUUGUUGACAAAAGUCCUCCAACUAUAGUAGAGUUGAGUAUUAUAUAUAUAUAUAUUCUCUUUAAGGUAUUUGAACACCCCGUAUAUUAAUAUGCAACCGGAUUGACAGUAAAGUCCCCACCUCCAAAAUAAAACAUUUCUUAAAUUGCUUAAGGUGCACUCCACUAAGCAAUUCCCACAGGUAUGCCCGAAGGUAAUAUUGAAAGAAAAUCAAUGACAGAAUGAAAACAAAGAACAAAAGCACUUGCAAUAAAAUAGUGAACUGAAAACACUCCGGUAGUAUAACAAUACAUAUUUUAGACCGUACCCAAAUACAUAAGUAUUUUUUUGUAAUUUAUAACCAGAAUCAGAGUUCUGUAUACGAAUGGGUACAUCAAUAUAGGUAUCCAUAUGUAUACAAGUGUGAUUCUAUAUAUGUAUAAGGCAACAUAUCUAUAUACUGAUACGUACAAAUGAAUGUACAAACAUAUAUGUACAUAGAUAGUUGAGUUCAUAUAGUUACAUAUAACAAAGGUGCCUAUCGUUACAGUUCUCUGCAUAAAGGGAGCUGCGAACACCAAGACACUGCUCUUCUGGACACAAAGCAAUUUGGGAAGAUUUCGGUGAUUGAUGGAAAGAUGCAGAGUGCUGAAAUUGAUGAGUUCAUCUACCAUGAAUCCUUGAUUCAUCCACCUCUCGUAUGCCAUCCAAAAACCAUCUUCAUAAUGAGAGGUGGCGAAGGUUCUGCCGCAAGAGAAGCAUUAAGGCACAAAAAUGUGGAGAGAGUGGUCAUGUGUGAUAUUGAUCAGGUUUGUGCAGAUGGUCUAACAACAGGUGUAGGCCUUCUUCAACGGCAUAUGUAUGUGGAUUCGUUAUGUCAGCGUUGUGGGAUUGAAGAAGAGACUCCAGCUCAUGUCUCUCUACAUUGUUCUUUUUCAAAGCGGUAUUCUGAAGCUCUCUAUCCCAUAGGGUGGAUUUAAGUGAUAUUUCUUCUAUUCAUUCUUGGAUCAAAGGUUGGGAAGAUUUCAACCACCUUGGAAAGAAACAAAGCAAAGAAUGCCUUGGCUUAUGUUUCUUUCUCAUUUGAUACCUUUAGAGGUCCAGGAACGACCUUAUUUUUUCUCAAAGGAGUUGGACUCCAUCUGAUGUGAUUAGUUGCUCAAAUGGCUCAUGAUGUUAGCAACAGGGUGAUUUAGCCUCGUAUUCCUGUUUCAUCUCCUGAGGUUAGUAGAACAUGGAUAGCCCCUCUGACUUAUUUUUAUAAAAUAAAUACAAAUACGGCUUGGAGGAAAGACGAUCAUCCUAGAUGUAUUGAUUUUAUCAUAAGAAAUCACAUGGGUCAAGCCUGCA